RNAcentral lists this ribosomal RNA (247 nucleotides) under uncultured Gardnerella sp. RNAcentral's name for it is "partial 16S ribosomal RNA". It matches the Rfam family "Bacterial small subunit ribosomal RNA", at positions 109 to 354 of the family's 1533-position model. The record is from RNAcentral. Lineage: Bacteria; Bacillati; Actinomycetota; Actinomycetes; Bifidobacteriales; Bifidobacteriaceae.
AGUAAUGCGUGACCAACCUCGCCCCAUGCUCCAGAAUAGCUCUUGGAAACGGGUGGUAAUGCUGGAUGCUCCAACUUGACGCAUGUCUUGUUGGGAAAGUGUUUAGUGGCAUGGGAUGGGGUCGCGUCCUAUCAGCUUGUAGGCGGGGUAAUGGCCCACCUAGGCUUCGACGGGUAGCCGGCCUGAGAGGGCGGACGGCCACAUUGGGACUGAGAUACGGCCCAGACUCCUACGGGAGGCAGCAGGC